GCCGACAUGGUUGGCGAUAUAGCGGCCCCGCACGCUCACGGUGUGCGCCUCGCUGCCGCGGCGGAAGCGCCAGCGGUUGUCGUCCGCGUGUUCGCCC
RNAcentral lists this transfer RNA (97 nucleotides) under Cupriavidus respiraculi. RNAcentral's name for it is "tRNA-Val". Lineage: Bacteria; Pseudomonadati; Pseudomonadota; Betaproteobacteria; Burkholderiales; Burkholderiaceae. The record is from RNAcentral.